GUGACACAGGUGGCACCCAGGUGGCACCCAGGUGUCCCAGGUGCCCCAGGUGCCCCAGGUGACAUACAGGUGACACAGGUGGCACCCAGGUGUCCCAGGUGUCCCAGGUGCCCCAGGUGGCACACAGGUGGCACCCAGGUGUCCCAGGUGCCCCAAGUGUCCCAGGUGCCCCAGGUGUCCCAGCUGGCACUCAGGUGACACACAGGUGGCACACAGGUGAUACAGGUGGCACACAGGUGUCCCAGGUGUCCCAGGUGCCCCAGGUGUCCCAGGUGGCACCCAGGUGCCCCAGGUGCCCCAGGUGGCACACGGGUGACACAGAGGGGACACCCAGGUGUCCCAGGUGCCCCAGGUGUCCCAGGUGACACACAGGUGGCACACAGGUGUCUCAGGUGACACACAGGUGACAUACAGGUGGCACCCAGGUGUCCCAGGUGCCCCAAGUGUCCCAGGUGCCCCAGGUGUCCCAGCUGGCACUCAGGUGACACACAGGUGGCACACAGGUGAUACAGGUGGCACACAGGUGGCACCCAGGUGUCCCAGGUGUCCCACAGGUGGCACACAGGUGGCACCCAGGUGACACCCAGGUGUCCCAGGUGUCCCAGGUGACACACAGGUGACACACGGGUGUCCCGGGUGACACACAGGUGA
Molecule: long non-coding RNA, 651 nt
Organism: Corvus hawaiiensis (hawaiian crow)
Lineage: Eukaryota; Metazoa; Chordata; Aves; Passeriformes; Corvidae
Exons: 4
Source: RefSeq, a predicted model, not a curated record